RNAcentral lists this ribosomal RNA (515 nucleotides) under uncultured Legionellaceae bacterium. RNAcentral describes it as "bacterial SSU rRNA". It matches the Rfam family "Bacterial small subunit ribosomal RNA", at positions 948 to 1463 of the family's 1533-position model. Lineage: Bacteria; Pseudomonadati; Pseudomonadota; Gammaproteobacteria; Legionellales; Legionellaceae. The record is from RNAcentral.
AAUUCGAUGCAACGCGAAGAACCUUACCUACCUUUGAAUCCACGGAAUUUUACUGAGAAGUAGAAGUGCCUUCGGGAACCGUGAGACAGGUGCUGCAUGGCUGUCGUCAGCUCGUGUCGUGAGAUGUUGGGUUAAGUCCCGUAACGAGCGCAACCCCUAUCCUUAGUUACCAGCGAGUAAAGUCGGGGACUUUAAGGAGACUGCCGGUGAUAAACCGGAGGAAGGUGGGGAUGACGUCAAGUCCUCAUGGCCCUUACAGGUAGGGCUACACACGUGCUACAAUGGCCGGUACAAAGGGUUGCCAACCCGCGAGGGGGAGCUAAUCUCAAAAAGCCGGUCGUAGUCCGGAUUGGAGUCUGCAACUCGACUCCAUGAAGCUGGAAUCGCUAGUAAUCGUGGAUCAGAACGCCACGGUGAAUACGUUCCCGGGCCUUGUACACACCGCCCGUCACACCAUGGGAGUGGGUUGUACCAGAAGCAGGUAGACUAACCGAAAGGAGGUCGCCUACCACGGU